ACAAUAAAUCACAAUGCGGAACUUCUGUUUUGCAAUUGGAUUGAGAACAACGCACAACACUUAUCGAUAAACAAUUGGAGGGCAAGUCUGGUGCCAGCAGCCGCGGUAAUUCCAGCUCCAAUAGCGUAUAUUAACGUUGUUGCAGUUAAAAAGCUCGUAGUUGAAGUGAAGUGUGAAUCUCUAGGAUUUUCGUUUGAAUUUCCUUUAGCUUCAUACUCUUUCCAAAUAGUUUGCAUGGGUAUUUACUUAUCUGUGUAUUGCAUUUGGUCAUUUACUGUGAGAAAAUUAGAGUGUUCAAAGCAUACGUUUGUUUGAAUACAUUAGCAUGGAAUAAUUCGAAAAGGCUUUCAUGUUCGAUUUGAUUGGUUUGUUCGUGAAGGCAAGAUUAAAAGGGACAGUUGGGGGUAUUCAUAUUCAAUAGUCAGAGGUGAAAUUCUCGGAUUUAUGGAAGAUGAACAA
RNAcentral lists this ribosomal RNA (459 nucleotides) under Blastocystis sp. subtype 10. RNAcentral's name for it is "SSU rRNA". It matches the Rfam family "Eukaryotic small subunit ribosomal RNA", at positions 470 to 942 of the family's 1831-position model. The record is from RNAcentral. Lineage: Eukaryota; Bigyra; Opalinata; Blastocystidae.